AAGAAUUAAUUCUUUAUAUAAUUUUCUUGAUGAAAUUUGAUAAGUUGUCCAUGUUCGUCUAAUUAAAUUUCCAUAUACCUCAAGGCAGAAUCACAUUGCAAUUUGGAUCAACCAACAAAAUCAUCAUGUUAUUUCAUGCCUUAAUUCUGGCAGGUUCUCCCACUGCCUGUUCCAUCCGAGAGUACCAUUCACCAAUGUGUGUAUGCUCCACCAUAUCUUUACCAGACUU
Molecule: unclassified non-coding RNA, 229 nt
Filed under: Hevea brasiliensis (rubber tree)
Lineage: Eukaryota; Viridiplantae; Streptophyta; Magnoliopsida; Malpighiales; Euphorbiaceae
Source: RNAcentral